AUAUAUUUUGUAAAAAAAAAAAAAAAAAAAAAAAAAAUCUGUUCUUAUCAGUUUAAUAUCUGAUACGUCCCCCAUCGGGGGACUACAUAUUAAAUGGAUUUUUCGAACAGGGAGUCGGAAAUGGGGCUUGCUCCGUCCGCUCCACGCAUCGACCCGGUAUUGCAGUACCUCCGGGAACGGUGCAACACUU
RNAcentral lists this small nuclear RNA (190 nucleotides) under Salmo trutta (river trout). RNAcentral describes it as "U2 spliceosomal RNA (ENSSTUG00000028740.1)". It matches the Rfam family "U2 spliceosomal RNA". Rfam says of the family: U2 is a small nuclear RNA (snRNA) component of the spliceosome (involved in pre-mRNA splicing). Lineage: Eukaryota; Metazoa; Chordata; Actinopteri; Salmoniformes; Salmonidae. The record is from Rfam by way of RNAcentral.